ACACCAAGAAGUUGAGUCAUAUGAUUGAUGGUGAAAAGAUAGUUAGGUGAAUAAGGAGUUGUAGGCUAUUCGAUGUAGUGUAUAGGGGUAAAAUUCGAGUGCGACUAUAUAGUUUGAGAAUAGCUUUAGGGCUGAAUCUAUGAAAUCCUUGAGGGAAACUGGGAUUAGGUACCCCAUUAUUCUUGGAUGUAAAUAGAGAGUGUCUACCAGAGUACUAUGAAUAAUAGAGAAUUUAAAACUCAAAGAACUUGGCGGUGUUUUAGACCACUUAGGGGAACCUGUCUCGUAAUCGACAGUCCACGUUGUACCUGACCUUUUCUUGUUUUCAGUUUGUAUACCGUUGUCGUCAGGUAACUUUUUAGAAAAUAGAAGUUGGCUAUAGAAAUCUAGUAAUUUAGUACGUCAAAUCAAGGUGCAGCUAACGAAAAGGGGAGGAUGGGUUACAAUUAUAUAAUUAUAAUGACGGAUGUCCACAUGAAAGUGUGGGUUGUGAAGGAGGACUUAGAAGUAAAUUGGAUUAAGAAAAACAGUUUGAAUGAGGCUCUGAAACGUGU
RNAcentral lists this ribosomal RNA (554 nucleotides) under Oxymeris dimidiata (dimidiate auger shell). RNAcentral describes it as "partial 12S ribosomal RNA". The record is from RNAcentral. Lineage: Eukaryota; Metazoa; Mollusca; Gastropoda; Neogastropoda; Terebridae.